This is a non-coding RNA of Acanthosepion pharaonis, 106 nucleotides long. The record is from the annotation of a GenBank genome assembly. NCBI's taxonomy places the organism in Eukaryota, Metazoa, Mollusca, Cephalopoda, Sepiida, Sepiidae.
AUAUCACUUUGAAACAACGGUUUCCGUAUGAUCACCGAAAUUAAGCAACGACGAGACUGGUCAGUACAUAGAUGGGUGACCUCUUGGGAAUACCAGGCGUUGUAAG